Molecule: ribozyme, 261 nt
Filed under: unclassified sequences
Description: Hairpin ribozyme 2 from viruses-like metatranscriptomes
Rfam family: Hairpin ribozyme 2 from viruses-like metatranscriptomes
Source: Rfam by way of RNAcentral
UAAAUAGGGUAUUCUUACCUAGGGCUGUCCGUGGAACCAGGAAAUUUGGUGCCUGAGGGGUCCUCAAGUCCGCAUCAAUCGGCCGAAUUGCGUAAGACCGACAGCAAGGUACAUCUUUGAGAGUCUUGUUGCAAGGAGGACAUGCCAAUCCGGAGAAUGGGGUGAGACUCCUCUGAAAUCCGGUGUCGCUUCAUUCCACGGGAAGCCCAAACAAAGUGAAACACGCGAGCAGUUGGCGCGUUUGCGGUAUAUUAGCUUUGA